AUUGAACGCUGGCGGAAUGCUUUACACAUGCAAGUCGAACGGCAGCACGGACUUCGGUCUGGUGGCCAGUGGCGAACGGGUGAGUAAUGUAUCGGAACGUGCCCAGUCGCGGGGGAUAACGUAGUGAAAAUUACGCUAAUACCGCAUACGAUCUCUGAUGCAAGCGGGGGAGCGCAAGACUGAGCGCGCAUGGAGCGCCCGCUAUUAGAUUAGGUAGUUGGUGGGGUAAAGGCCCACCAAGCCAACGAUCUUUAGCUGGGCUGAGAGGACGACCAGCGACACUGGAACUGAGACACGGUCCAGACUCCUACGGGAGGCAGCAGUGGGGGAUUUUGGACAAUGGGCGAAAGCCUGAUCCAGCCAUUCCGCGUGCAGGAUGAAGGCCCUCGGGUUGUAAACUGCUUUUGUACAGAACGAAAAGGUUUCUACUAAUACUAGGAGCUCAUGACGGUACUGUAAGAAUAAGCACCGGCUAACUACGUGCCAGCCGCCGCCGUAA
This 499-nucleotide ribosomal RNA is filed under the name uncultured bacterium. RNAcentral's name for it is "partial 16S ribosomal RNA". It matches the Rfam family "Bacterial small subunit ribosomal RNA", at positions 30 to 523 of the family's 1533-position model. The record is from RNAcentral.